RNAcentral lists this ribosomal RNA (527 nucleotides) under Dinoflagellata sp. DF5. Its description in RNAcentral is "SSU rRNA". It matches the Rfam family "Eukaryotic small subunit ribosomal RNA", at positions 34 to 566 of the family's 1831-position model. Lineage: Eukaryota; Dinophyceae. The record is from RNAcentral.
GUCUCAAAGAUUAAGCCAUGCAUGUCUCAGUAUAAGUUUUAACAUAACGAAACUGCGAAUGGCUCAUUAAAACAGUUAUAGUUUACUUGAUAGUCAAUCGUUAUACGGAUAACUGCGGUAAUUCUGGAGCUAAUACGUGCACAAAGACCUGACUUCUAGGAAAGGUCGUGUUUAUUAGAUACAGAACCAAUCCCUUUUGGGUUUUUGGAUGAUUCAUAAUAAAGGAACGGAGCGCAUGACUUGUGUCGGCGCUGUUUCAUUCAAGUUUCUGACCUAUCAGCUUCCGACGGUAGGGUAUUGGCCUACCGUGGCAUUGACGGGUAACGGAGAAUUAGGGUUCGAUUCCGGAGAGGGAGCCUUAAAAACGGCUACCACAUCUAAGGAAGGCAGCAGGCGCGCAAAUUACCCAAUCCUGAUACAGGGAGGUAGUGACAAGAAAUAACACAGAGAGUGCUUUUUGCAUUUCUCUUUGGAAUGAGUAGAAUUUAAAUCUCUUUUCGACUAUCAAUUGGAGGGCAAGUCUGGUG